RNAcentral lists this unclassified non-coding RNA (198 nucleotides) under fungal sp. Its description in RNAcentral is "partial internal transcribed spacer region". The stretch from base 1 to 46 matches the Rfam family "Eukaryotic small subunit ribosomal RNA", at positions 1786 to 1831 of the family's 1831-position model. Lineage: Eukaryota; Fungi. The record is from RNAcentral.
AAGUCGUAACAAGGUUUCCGUAGGUGAACCUGCGGAAGGAUCAUUAACAAAUCGGUUGUGUGAGGUAUGAUAUGAGAAGGGGGAGUAAUCUCUCUUUUUAUUCAUCUCUCAAACACACAUUUACGCUUGUAUUGUUUGACAGAGUAAAAGUUAUAUUUAAAUCAGAGACAACUUUUAACAAUGGAUCUCUUGGCUCUU